This 604-nucleotide ribosomal RNA is filed under the name Linderina pennispora. Its description in RNAcentral is "eukaryotic LSU rRNA". It matches the Rfam family "Eukaryotic large subunit ribosomal RNA", at positions 86 to 628 of the family's 3401-position model. The record is from RNAcentral. Lineage: Eukaryota; Fungi; Kickxellomycota; Kickxellomycetes; Kickxellales; Kickxellaceae.
ACGGCGAGUGAAGCGGGAACAGCUCAAGGCAGGAAUCCCUCCGGGGAGUUGUGGCCUAUGGAACGUAGUUGCUGUGAGUCGGUUUGCGGAUCAAGUCCCUUGGAAUAGGGCGCCAGAGAGGGUGACAGCCCCGUCCACCGCAGGCUUGAACGGCUCCGUUAUGCACUAUGCUCCGCGAGUCGGGUUGUUUGGGAAUGCAGCCCUAAUCGGGAGGUACGCACCUUCCAAGGCUAAAUAUUCAGGCGAGAGACCGAUAGCGAACAAGUACCGUGAGGGAAAGUUGAAAAGUACUCUGGAGAGAGAGUGAAAAGCGCGUGAAACCAUUAGUAGGGAACCGCUUGCACGGUGCACUGAGUAUUGCUGGCUUCGGCUGGCUUUACCGCUCAACACCAGUUUGGCUUGCUGGAGAAAGGACGUGGCAAGGUAGCAACGCUUCGGGGUUGUGUUAUAGGCCGCGUCCAUAUACAGUGGGCUGGACUGAGGACGGCGACAUCCCUUCGGGGCGCUUGUGGAGGCUGGCCGGGGGGCUGGACUGCGCGGACAGCAUGCUGACCGUGCGGGAUCAUGCAACCCGCCCCCAGUGUUCAUGAAGUGAUAUGUCAAG